RNAcentral lists this ribosomal RNA (885 nucleotides) under Bacillus paralicheniformis. RNAcentral's name for it is "bacterial SSU rRNA". It matches the Rfam family "Bacterial small subunit ribosomal RNA", at positions 61 to 926 of the family's 1533-position model. The record is from RNAcentral. Lineage: Bacteria; Bacillati; Bacillota; Bacilli; Caryophanales; Bacillaceae.
GUCGAGCGGACAGAUGGGAGCUUGCUCCCUGAUGUCAGCGGCGGACGGGUGAGUAACACGUGGGUAACCUGCCUGUAAGACUGGGAUAACUCCGGGAAACCGGGGCUAAUACCGGAUGCUUGAUUGAACCGCAUGGUUCAAUUAUAAAAGGUGGCUUUUAGCUACCACUUACAGAUGGACCCGCGGCGCAUUAGCUAGUUGGUGAGGUAACGGCUCACCAAGGCAACGAUGCGUAGCCGACCUGAGAGGGUGAUCGGCCACACUGGGACUGAGACACGGCCCAGACUCCUACGGGAGGCAGCAGUAGGGAAUCUUCCGCAAUGGACGAAAGUCUGACGGAGCAACGCCGCGUGAGUGAUGAAGGUUUUCGGAUCGUAAAACUCUGUUGUUAGGGAAGAACAAGUACCGUUCGAAUAGGGCGGUACCUUGACGGUACCUAACCAGAAAGCCACGGCUAACUACGUGCCAGCAGCCGCGGUAAUACGUAGGUGGCAAGCGUUGUCCGGAAUUAUUGGGCGUAAAGCGCGCGCAGGCGGUUUCUUAAGUCUGAUGUGAAAGCCCCCGGCUCAACCGGGGAGGGUCAUUGGAAACUGGGGAACUUGAGUGCAGAAGAGGAGAGUGGAAUUCCACGUGUAGCGGUGAAAUGCGUAGAGAUGUGGAGGAACACCAGUGGCGAAGGCGACUCUCUGGUCUGUAACUGACGCUGAGGCGCGAAAGCGUGGGGAGCGAACAGGAUUAGAUACCCUGGUAGUCCACGCCGUAAACGAUGAGUGCUAAGUGUUAGAGGGUUUCCGCCCUUUAGUGCUGCAGCAAACGCAUUAAGCACUCCGCCUGGGGAGUACGGUCGCAAGACUGAAACUCAAAGGAAUUGACGGGGGCCCGCAC